AAUCCAAAUCCAAUUCUGUAAAUUGGAGAAUAACGAUAAAGGACUUGGGAAUAACUCUGCCAAAUUUCGUUACCUUUUACCACGAUUUGAUAUGACGAAACUGAUUUCUCCCAAACCCUAACGAUUCUGCUCGUUCUCCUUUUCUCUCUUUUUCUCCUUUAUAAAACGAAAAGUGGCUAACCAAAGCCCUAAUUUCGAGUUUACUUCUUUUAUAGGCAUACUCUAAGGUUUCCAAUUAACCCAAUCAAUUAAACCGGAUGAUUUAAAAACAAACUCUAACUGAUUUUCCGGUUCACGGGCGUUACAAAGAGGAAGUUAGAAUGAUGAAGAUGGAAAUGAACAAAGAGAGGAUGGAAAAGAACAAAGAGAGAAGAAAUGAAGAUGAUAAUCGUUUUUUCCUAUGGUUGUUCA
This 411-nucleotide small RNA is filed under the name Arabidopsis thaliana (thale cress). RNAcentral describes it as "ATSL209160". The record is from RNAcentral. Lineage: Eukaryota; Viridiplantae; Streptophyta; Magnoliopsida; Brassicales; Brassicaceae.